AACAAGAUGACUGUGUUCUUGCCAUGAACCAGGUCCCUGGUUGGUCAGUCAGUCGGUCGGUCGGUCGGUCCGUCGGUCGGCCG
RNAcentral lists this microRNA precursor (83 nucleotides) under Loxodonta africana (African savanna elephant). RNAcentral describes it as "miRNA (ENSLAFG00000032355.1)". The record is from RNAcentral. Lineage: Eukaryota; Metazoa; Chordata; Mammalia; Proboscidea; Elephantidae.